GCGCGGCUAGUUUAAAGGUAAAAUUACGGGCUUCCAACCCGAUGAUAACAGUUCGAUUCUGUUGCGGCGCUCCA
RNAcentral lists this transfer RNA (74 nucleotides) under Sphingobacteriales bacterium. Its description in RNAcentral is "tRNA-Gly". It matches the Rfam family "tRNA". Rfam says of the family: Transfer RNA (tRNA) molecules are approximately 80 nucleotides in length. Their secondary structure includes four short double-helical elements and three loops (D, anti-codon, and T loops). Further hydrogen bonds mediate the characteristic L-shaped molecular structure. tRNAs have two regions of fundamental functional importance: the anti-codon, which is responsible for specific mRNA codon recognition, and the 3' end, to which the tRNAs corresponding amino acid is attached (by aminoacyl-tRNA synthetases). tRNAs cope with the degeneracy of the genetic code in two manners: having more than one tRNA (with a specific anti-codon) for a particular amino acid; and 'wobble' base-pairing, i.e. permitting non-standard base-pairing at the 3rd anti-codon position. RNAcentral also lists the same sequence under 1 other name. The record is from RNAcentral. Lineage: Bacteria; Pseudomonadati; Bacteroidota; Sphingobacteriia; Sphingobacteriales.